UACGUAGGGUGCGAGCGUUAAUCGGAAUUACUGGGCGUAAAGCGUGCGCAGGCGGUUAUUUAAGUCAGGUGUGAAAUCCCCGGGCUCAACCUGGGAACUGCAUCUGUGACUGCAUCGCUGGAGUGCGGCAGAGGGGGAUGGAAUUCCGCGUGUAGCAGUGAAAUGCGUAGAUAUGCGGAGGAACACCGAUGGCGAAGGCAAUCCCCUGGGCCUGCACUGACGCUCAUGCACGAAAGCGUGGGGAGCAAACAGG
This 253-nucleotide ribosomal RNA is filed under the name uncultured bacterium. RNAcentral describes it as "partial 16S ribosomal RNA". It matches the Rfam family "Bacterial small subunit ribosomal RNA", at positions 524 to 776 of the family's 1533-position model. The record is from RNAcentral.